GCUGCCUUCAAGAGAUGUUUGACAGUGAGAGAGCCCUUUACCAGCCUCCUACAAACCAAACAAAAGAAUGUGGGUCAAGCAAGGUGCCAUGUGUUCACUGCUCCAGGGAGCCUUCUCUGCCAGAUGGACUGCCCUAACCCUGACACACUCACUCACAAAGCCCUCACAUUGUGCCGCUUGGAGAUCUGAAAAGGGACUUCCUCCUUUUUCAAAGUAACGGGGCCAAAAGGAAGUUGCUGUAUUAACAUUUAUUUACCCGAGCCCUUUGUCCAUGGUGACUUGCAAUGUUAGAUAAGUAAGGUGACAAUUAGUAACCCAUGUAUACAAUAGGGUAUUCUUACUGUAUCAAACCAGGCACAUAGGCACUACACCAAGAGCAGGAAUUUGAACCCAGCAUCUUCAGAUUAGAAGACAAGAGCCCUCAGCAUAACAUUGCUGCUGCCCCACUUGAGCUGAAGGGUGGUGCGCCUUCGUUGCUUUGCUUCCGUUUCAUCCUAAAUAAUAUAUGAUCAUACAGGUUUAUACAUCAGGAUACUGUACUUUAAUGUAAAAAGUGAGGGAUCCCCUUCAGGGCAGUGGUUGAGGAUCAUAGAGAAUAUUGGUGGUCUUCGUAGCUCGGGUGGAUGGUUGAGGUGUUCGUUGUUUGCCGAACUUGGCAUUUAUGUUGCAGCCAUUUCAUCACCAGUCAAGGUGACAUCAUCAGUAUGCAAGUUGUAUGAUUUGUGUUGGGUGCUUCCUCCUUUAUAUAUGGUUUGAUGGGUGGGAUUGCCUGAAGCUUGGACAUGAUUGGUUGGUUUCAUGUGACCUUGAGCAUGAGCAGUUCUUCUGACUUCUGAUUGGUCAGUUGCUGGUUUCAAACCGGAAUCGGUUUGAUACUGGUUAGGUCCUUGUUGGUCCCCGUUUUGUAUUGGCUUGUAGAUGGCGUCCAGUUCAAUAUGUUUGUUUGUGGAAUUGACCGAAGAGUACCAGGCCUCAAGGAACUCCCUCGAAUGAUGCUGAAUAACAAAGUAUCCAUGAUUAAGAUUCCAAUAGGAGGAAGAGUCUUUUGCGAUGCACCACCUAAACUCUGGAAUAAUCUGCAAGGUAAUAUCAGGAAUAUCUCUCUCGUCUCAGCCUUUAAAUCCAGGCUUAAAACUUACCUGCUGUAGAGUUUUUUUGUCUUCCUCUCCACUGUUGCCAGCUGGAUCACUCUGUGGUUGUUUAUGGGUGUUAUAAAUAACCUUGUUUAUAACUCUAACCUUGUUCAGCAUCCUGCAUCACUCUGGUGAGAAGAGCACCCUAUAAAAUAAAAUGAAGUUGAAACUGGAUGUUGCUGCA
RNAcentral lists this long non-coding RNA (1317 nucleotides) under Scleropages formosus (Asian bonytongue). RNAcentral describes it as "lncRNA (ENSSFOG00015028206.1)". Lineage: Eukaryota; Metazoa; Chordata; Actinopteri; Osteoglossiformes; Osteoglossidae. The record is from RNAcentral.